UCACGAAAAGGGCAAACCGCUCGAAAGAGCGGGGCGCAAAGCCAUGGGCCUAAGGCCCUGGUUAGGGCUAUGGCUGCCAGGCUGCCGUG
This 89-nucleotide non-coding RNA is filed under the name Thermoanaerobacterales bacterium. Its description in RNAcentral is "c-di-GMP sequence". It matches the Rfam family "c-di-GMP-I riboswitch aptamer". From Rfam's summary of the family: GEMM was predicted in a large-scale screen for bacterial structured RNA regulatory elements. Genes associated with GEMM are involved in a diverse array of functions, including chemotaxis regulation, signal transduction, secretion and chitin. Lineage: Bacteria; Bacillati; Bacillota; Clostridia; Thermoanaerobacterales. The record is from RNAcentral.